Non-coding RNA from Acanthosepion pharaonis, 98 nucleotides. The record is from the annotation of a GenBank genome assembly. NCBI's taxonomy places the organism in Eukaryota, Metazoa, Mollusca, Cephalopoda, Sepiida, Sepiidae.
GUUGAAGCAUCAGCUCCUAUACAAUCACCAAAGUUAAGCAACAUCAAGCCUGGUCAGUACCUAAAUGGGUGACUGCUUGGGAAUACCAGGUGCUGUAA